This 168-nucleotide ribosomal RNA is filed under the name Mytilus edulis (blue mussel). Its description in RNAcentral is "partial 18S ribosomal RNA". It matches the Rfam family "Eukaryotic small subunit ribosomal RNA", at positions 518 to 684 of the family's 1831-position model. RNAcentral also lists the same sequence under 3 other names. Lineage: Eukaryota; Metazoa; Mollusca; Bivalvia; Mytilida; Mytilidae. The record is from RNAcentral.
GUACACUUUAAACCCUUUAACGAGGAUCUAUUGGAGGGCAAGUCUGGUGCCAGCAGCCGCGGUAAUUCCAGCUCCAAUAGCGUAUAUUAAAGUUGUUGCAGUUAAAAAGCUCGUAGUUGGAUCUCGGGUCCAGGCUGGCGGUCCGACGCCUGUCGGUUACUGCCUGCU